GACGAACGCUGGCGGCGUGCCUAAUACAUGCAAGUAGAACGCUGAAGGAGGAGCUUGCUUCUCCGGAUGAGUUGCGAACGGGUGAGUAACGCGUAGGUAACCUGCCUGGUAGCGGGGGAUAACUAUUGGAAACGAUAGCUAAUACCGCAUAAGAGUAGAUGUUGCAUGACAUUUGCUUAAAAGGUGCAAUUGCAUCACUACCAGAUGGACCUGCGUUGUAUUAGCUAGUUGGUGGGGUAACGGCUUACCAAGGCGACGAUACAUAGCCGACCUGAGAGGGUGAUCGGCCACACUGGGACUGAGACACGGCCCAGACUCCUACGGGAGGCAGCAGUAGGGAAUCUUCGGCAAUGGACGGAAGUCUGACCGAGCAACGCCGCGUGAGUGAAGAAGGUUUUCGGAUCGUAAAGCUCUGUUGUAAGAGAAGAACGAGUGUGAGAGUGGAAAGUUCACACUGUGACGGUAGCUGACCAGAAAGGGACGGCUAACUACGUG
Molecule: ribosomal RNA, 495 nt
Filed under: uncultured bacterium
Lineage: Bacteria
Description: partial 16S ribosomal RNA
Rfam family: Bacterial small subunit ribosomal RNA
Source: RNAcentral